This is a long non-coding RNA of Alosa sapidissima (American shad), 103 nucleotides long. RefSeq lists it as uncharacterized. Lineage: Eukaryota; Metazoa; Chordata; Actinopteri; Clupeiformes; Clupeidae. The record is from RefSeq and is a predicted model, not a curated record. The transcript has 3 exons.
AAACAAAAUCAACACAGAUAGACAGACUUCUUGCAGGUUUCAGUAAGUCAAAUUUAAGACCUUUUUAAGACAUUUUAAGACCAUAAAGAUUGAAAUGUAAGAC